UACGUAGGGUGCGAGCGUUAAUCGGAAUUACUUGGCGUAAAGCGUGCGCAGGCGGUUUUGUAAGCCAGAUGUGAAAUCCCCGGGCUCAACCUGGGAAUGGCAUUUGGGACUGCAAGGCUCGAGUGCGGCAGAGGAGACUGGAAUUCCUGGUGUAGCAGUGAAAUGCGUAGAUAUCAGGAGGAAUACCGAUGGCGAAGGCAGGUCUCUGGGCUGACACUGACGCUCAUGCACGAAAGCGUGGGGAGCAAACAGG
This 253-nucleotide ribosomal RNA is filed under the name uncultured bacterium. RNAcentral's name for it is "partial 16S ribosomal RNA". It matches the Rfam family "Bacterial small subunit ribosomal RNA", at positions 524 to 776 of the family's 1533-position model. The record is from RNAcentral.